GAUGAACGCUGGCGGCGUGCCUAAUACAUGCAAGUCGAGCGAACAGACGAGGAGCUUGCUCCUCUGACGUUAGCGGCGGACGGGUGAGUAACACGUGGAUAACCUACCUAUAAGACUGGGAUAACUUCGGGAAACCGGAGAUAAUACCGGAGAAUAUAUUGAACCGCAUGGUUCAAUAGUGAAAGACGGUUUUGCUGUCACUUAUAGAUGGAUCCGCGCCGCAUUAGCUAGUUGGUAAGGUAACGGCUUACCAAGGCAACGAUGCGUAGCCGACCUGAGAGGGUGAUCGGCCACACUGGAACUGAGACACGGUCCAGACUCCUACGGGAGGCAGCAGUAGGGAAUCUUCCGCAAUGGGCGAAAGCCUGACGGAGCAACGCCGCGUGAGUGAUGAAGGUCUUCGGAUCGUAAAGCUCUGUUAUUAGGGAAGAACAAAUGUGUAAGUAACUAUGCACGUCUUGACGGUACCUAAUCAGAAAGCCACGGCUAACUACGUG
RNAcentral lists this ribosomal RNA (497 nucleotides) under uncultured bacterium. RNAcentral describes it as "partial 16S ribosomal RNA". It matches the Rfam family "Bacterial small subunit ribosomal RNA", at positions 28 to 507 of the family's 1533-position model. The record is from RNAcentral.